Non-coding RNA from Cicer arietinum (chickpea), 2198 nucleotides. The record is from RefSeq and is a predicted model, not a curated record. NCBI's taxonomy places the organism in Eukaryota, Viridiplantae, Streptophyta, Magnoliopsida, Fabales, Fabaceae.
AAAAAUAGUAUAACACUAUAUAUCAUAUAAUAAGUAAAAGAUUGUUUAUAGUUAGUAGUUGAGUUGAAAGUUAUAAUUUCAAUUCUCAUAAGUUUUACAAUUUUCACAAAUCACAUAAUUUCCACACAGUUUUAAAAGUUAUUGUUCGAUAUUAGGUAAUAUAUAUAUAUAUAUAUAUAUAUAGCUUGUCUUAAUUUAUUAUAUUUUAUUAGUAUAAAAUUUUAGAGAAGGAAAAUAAAUUCAGAAAAGAUACGAGAGAAGAGAGUACAUAUAUCGUGCGAAAAUGAUUUGAAGAUAUUUUAACAAUUUAUAUCUGUUAUUUAAUUAUAUGAUAAUACAUAUAAUACAUAGUUAUUAUAUAUAUAUAUAUAAUAGGGAUGUCUAAACCGUUGGAGGCGGAAUGAUCGAAUUGACAGCGUCAAAACGCACAGGGUUGGUUGAUGAUGAAUAUAUAAAAAAAAGGUUUAAAUCGCAGAGAAAUCGAUAUCUUUUGUUAUCCUAUUUAGUGUGAUUGUGAAAAAACGUAAUUAAUUUUGGGUGUUAGAAUGAGUUGAAAUUGAAUUAGGGUGCAAUUACUACUAGCAAGUAGCAACUAAUCAAUUAUCAGUUUCCAACAUGAAACUAAGAAAAAAGCGAAAGUAAAAAUAAAAGGGGAUUAAAUAAAAUUAAAUUCAGACCUGAUUUGAGAAAAAGAAAGAAGGAAGUGAAUAGCGAAUCCUAAAGGAGAGUGUUUAGGGGGUUCAGUUAAGCAGCGGAUUACAUCGAUAACUUUAGAUCGGUUAUAUACAUUGUAACAAAAAUAAAACAAUGGUAAAUUUAUUAUUAUAAUAAUAAUUUUAUUAGAUCACUUAAAUUAAACCAUUCUAAGAAGCAUUUUACAAAAAUAAAAAAUAAAAAACGCGGGAACUCAUUGGUUUUCACUUUCACUCUUCGACGCCUUCACCUUCGCGAACCAACUUCGUGAAUCACUUCACCUUCGUAUUGCUUUCACUCCCUCCCUCAUGCGCGAACUCUUCAACGCGGGCGACGAAGAAUCUAAGUUUUUCCGCUUCCGUGCCAGUAACGAGUUUCUUUGUCUUCCCCUUCCAUCUGUCGAGAAGUGUUGCUAUUGAGAAGUGUCGAUUUCUUGUUUCUCCCAAACAGGCAUUGGUGAGUGUCAUCCAAUUUGGGGCUGGAAAGCGCUUAUACAUAACAGCUAUCAGAGCACUUAGAAAUGGUUCAACAAACAUGGAUGUCAUGGUUGCUUUGGGAACUACAACAUCAUAUGUUUAUUUUGUUUGUGUUCUUCUGUAUCGUGCUCUUAGUGGAUUUUGAUCUACAAAAUACUUUGAAACAAGUACUAUGCUUAUAACAUUUGUAUUGUUGGGCAAGUAUUUGGAAUGUCUAGCAAAGGGAAAGACGUCUGAUGCCAUUAAGAAGUUAGUAGAACUCACUCCUACAACAGAUUUACUGGUUGUUAAAGACAAAGGUCCAUGACACUUAUUUUUUAUGCGUAUUAUACUCUUAAGAAAAUGGAGAUGAAACAGCUAAUGUGUUGAUGACCUUGUAUUUAGGUUGAAAUUAAUGAAGGUUAUUAUAUUUAUCAUCAAGAUUUCAUCAUAACAUCAAAUUAUAACUUGUCAAUAAUUGUUUUCUUCUAGAUGGUAGAUCUAUUGAAGAAAGAGAAAAUGAUUCCUUGCUUAUUCAAACUAUUGACACAUUAAAAGUUCUUCAUGGUACAAAGAUUCCUACUGAUGGCAUUGUUACUUGGGACUCAAGUUAUGUAAAUGAGAGUAUGGUGACUGGUGAAUCUAUACCUGUUUUGAAGGAGAUCAAUACCUUUGUCAUUGGAGGUACAAUCAAUUGGCAUGGUGUCCUUCACAUCCAAGCUACUAAAGUAGGAUCUAAUACAAUUUUGAGGAUCUGAUACAAUUUUGAGUCAGAUAAUUAAUUUGGUGGAGACAACACAGAUGUCCAAGGCUCCCAUCCAAAAGUUUGUUGAUUAUCUUAGAGAAAGAGGAGGGCUGUCAUUAAGAAGUCAACUGCCAACAUAAAAUUGUUGAAUCAUUGUGACAUGGACUGACAUUGUGAUAGUGUUCCCCACUUGUGGGAAAAGACCCCAUUUUUAUUAUUGUUGUUGUUGUAUGCAUUUUACAUAGAUUGGAUUUCAUUUUGUGUGGUAAUGAAAGUUUUAGCUUAUGAAUCAAUUUUGAAAAUAA